UCGGCGGUGGCGGGACCGCCCUUGUCGGUGCCGCCGUCGUGGGGCGGGGUGGCCGAGGAGCCGUGGUCCGGUUCGUGGUCCGGGUCGCCGGGC
RNAcentral lists this transfer RNA (93 nucleotides) under Streptomyces mashuensis. Its description in RNAcentral is "tRNA-Thr". The record is from RNAcentral. Lineage: Bacteria; Bacillati; Actinomycetota; Actinomycetes; Kitasatosporales; Streptomycetaceae.